RNAcentral lists this ribosomal RNA (253 nucleotides) under uncultured bacterium. RNAcentral's name for it is "partial 16S ribosomal RNA". It matches the Rfam family "Bacterial small subunit ribosomal RNA", at positions 524 to 776 of the family's 1533-position model. The record is from RNAcentral.
UACAGAGGUCUCAAGCGUUGUUCGGAUUCAUUGGGCGUAAAGGGUGCGUAGGUGGCGCGCUAAGUCGGGUGUGAAAUCUCGGAGCUUAACUCCGAAAUUGCAUUCGAUACUGGCGUGCUUGAGGACUGGAGAGGAGACUGGAAUUCAUGGUGUAGCAGUGAAAUGCGUAGAGAUCAUGAGGAAGACCAGUGGCGAAGGCGGGUCUCUGGACAGUUCCUGACACUGAGGCACGAAGGCCAGGGGAGCAAACGGG